This 328-nucleotide ribosomal RNA is filed under the name uncultured eukaryote. RNAcentral describes it as "partial 18S ribosomal RNA". It matches the Rfam family "Eukaryotic small subunit ribosomal RNA", at positions 1470 to 1796 of the family's 1831-position model. The record is from RNAcentral.
CCCUUAGAUGUUCUGGGCUGCACGCGCGCUACACUGAUGCGCUCAACGAGUUUACGACCUUGCCCGGAAGGGUUGGGUAAUCUUUUUAAAACGCAUCGUGACGGGGAUAGAUUAUUGCAAUUAUUAAUCUUCAACGAGGAAUGCCUAGUAGGCGCAAGUCAUCAGCUUGCGUCGAUUACGUCCCUGCCCUUUGUACACACCGCCCGUCGCUCCUACCGAUUGGGUGUGCUGGUGAAAUGUUCGGAUCGGCCGUUUGUCGCGGUUUCCGCGUCAUGUGGCUGAGAAGUUCAUUAAACCCUCCCACCUAGAGGAAGGAGAAGUCGUAACA